This 378-nucleotide ribosomal RNA is filed under the name uncultured bacterium. Its description in RNAcentral is "bacterial SSU rRNA". It matches the Rfam family "Bacterial small subunit ribosomal RNA", at positions 521 to 896 of the family's 1533-position model. The record is from RNAcentral.
UAAUACGAGGGGUGCAAGCGUUAUUCGGAAUAACUGGGCGUAAAGGGUGCGUAGACGGUACAUUAAGCUCGUUGUUAAAUUCCCUGGCCUAACUGGGGGUAAGCAGUGAGAACUGAUGUGCUAGAGGGUGAGAGAGAGAAGUGGAAUUUCCGGAGUAGCGGUAAAAUGCGUAGAUCUCGGAAGGAACACCAAUGGCGAAGGCAGCUUCUUGGCUCAUACCUGACGUUGAGGCACGAAAGCGUGGGGAGCAAACAGGAUUAGAUACCCUGGUAGUCCACGCUGUAAACGAUAAUCACUAGAUGUUAGUUCGGCUUAGCCGGAUUGGUAUCAAAGCUAACGCGUUAAGUGAUUCGCCUGGGAACUACGAUCGCAAGAUUA